Molecule: transfer RNA, 69 nt
Filed under: Hoplomys gymnurus (armored rat)
Lineage: Eukaryota; Metazoa; Chordata; Mammalia; Rodentia; Echimyidae
Description: tRNA-Gly
Source: RNAcentral
AUCCUUUUAGUAUAAACAGUACUAUUGACUUCCAAUCAAUAAGUUCCAAAUAAAGACGGAAAAGGAUAA